This 585-nucleotide ribosomal RNA is filed under the name uncultured bacterium. RNAcentral's name for it is "bacterial SSU rRNA". It matches the Rfam family "Bacterial small subunit ribosomal RNA", at positions 331 to 929 of the family's 1533-position model. The record is from RNAcentral.
CCAGACUCCUACGGGAGGCAGCAGUGAGGAAUCUUCCACAAUGGGCGAAAGCCUGAUGGAGCAACGCCGCGUGAAGGAUGAAGGCCUUCGGGUUGUAAACUUCUUUUAUGAGUGAAGAAUAUGACGGUAACUCAUGAAUAAGCACCGGCUAACUACGUGCCAGCAGCCGCGGUCAUACGUAGGGUGCAAGCAUUAUCCGGAGUGACUGGGCGUAAAGAGUUGCGUAGGCGGUUUAAUAAGUGAAUAGUGAAACCUGGUGGCUCAACCAUACAGACUAUUAUUCAAACUGUUAAACUCGAGAAUGGUAGAGGUAACUGGAAUUUCUUGUGUAGGAGUGAAAUCCGUAGAUAUAAGAAGGAACACCAAUGGCGUAGGCAGGUUACUGGGCCAUUUCUGACGCUAAGGCACGAAAGCGUGGGGAGCGAACCGGAUUAGAUACCCGGGUAGUCCACGCCGUAAACGAUGGAUACUAGCUGUUGGAGGUAUCGACCCCUUCAGUAGCGAAGCUAACGCGUUAAGUAUCCCGCCUGUGGAGUACGGCCGCAAGGCUAAAACAUAAAGGAAUUGACGGGGGCCCCGCACAAG